AAUUCUGGUCCCUACCUGCUCUGCGUCUUCUGUUGUUGCUUCGAAAGUAUGCUGUGUUUUGAAGUUUUCACCUGUAUCCUGCACAUAAACUGCACUGACUGCAGAGCUUGGAUUGGUUUCUCCUUGGAAAGUUAUUCCUACGACGAAUGCCCAGCAGUCUUGUUUCCAUUUGCACUUUGGAAGGAUUCAAUAUGCUAAUUAUGCAGGUAUGUCGCAGUAUUACACCGUGAAAGACAAUACUGGUGUUUAUUGAUGAGAAAAUCCAUUAAAAUGGCACAAUAUCCCAGCCUCAUUCUGUUACAUCACAGUUUUUUACACAGGAUAAGUACUUCAG
Molecule: non-coding RNA, 334 nt
Organism: Paramisgurnus dabryanus
Lineage: Eukaryota; Metazoa; Chordata; Actinopteri; Cypriniformes; Cobitidae
Source: RefSeq, a predicted model, not a curated record